CGGCGAGUGAAGCGGCAACAGCUCAAAUUUGAAAUCUGGCUCCUUCGGGGUCCGAGUUGUAAUUUGUAGAGGGUGCUUUGGCGUUGGUUGUGGUCUAAGUUCCUUGGAACAGGACGUCACAGAGGGUGAGAAUCCCGUACGUGGCCGCCAGCCUUCGCCGUGUAAAGCCCCUUCGAUGAGUCGAGUUGUUUGGGAAUGCAGCUCUAAAUGGGAGGUAAAUUUCUUUUAAAGCUAAAUAUUUGCCAGAGACCGAUAGCGCACAAGUAGAGUGAUCGAAAGAUGAAAAGCACUUUGGAAAGAGAGUCAAAAAGCACGUGAAAUUGUUGAAAGGGAAGCGCUUGCAGCUAGACGUGCCUUGGGUUGAUCAGCCGGACUUUUGCCCGGUGCACUCUUCCCUUGGCAGGCCAGCAUCAGUUUGGGCGGCUGGAUAAAGGUCUGUUAAACGUGACUUCCUUCGGGGAGAGCUUAUAGGGCAGACGACAUGCAGCCAGCCUGAACUGAGGUCCGCGCAUCUGCUAGGAUGCUGGCAUAAUAGCUGUAAGCGGCCCGUCUUGAAACACGGACCAAGGAGUCUAACAUCUAUGCGAGUGUUUGGGUGUCAAGCCCGAGCGCGUAAUGAAAGUAAACGGAGGUGGGAACCUUUUAGGUGCACCAUCGACCGAUCCUGAUGUCUUCGGAUGGAUUUGAGUAAGAGCAUAGCUGUUGGGACCCGAAAGAUGGUGAACUAUGCCUGAAUAGGGUGAAGCCAGAGGAAACUCUGGUGGAGGCUCGCAGCGGUUCUGACGUGCAAAUCGAUCGUCAAAUUUGGGCAUAGGGGCGAAAGACUAAUCGAAC
Molecule: ribosomal RNA, 834 nt
Filed under: Coelodictyosporium rosarum
Lineage: Eukaryota; Fungi; Ascomycota; Dothideomycetes; Pleosporales; Lophiostomataceae
Description: eukaryotic LSU rRNA
Rfam family: Eukaryotic large subunit ribosomal RNA
Source: RNAcentral